UCCCUGGUGGCUCAGACGGUAAAGAACCUGCCUGCAAUGCAGGAGACCUGGGUUCAAUCCAGGUAGGGAA
Molecule: transfer RNA, 70 nt
Filed under: Ovis aries (sheep)
Lineage: Eukaryota; Metazoa; Chordata; Mammalia; Artiodactyla; Bovidae
Rfam family: tRNA
About the family: Transfer RNA (tRNA) molecules are approximately 80 nucleotides in length. Their secondary structure includes four short double-helical elements and three loops (D, anti-codon, and T loops).
Source: Rfam by way of RNAcentral